CGCCAAGCUAUGUUUGUGCCGGAAAUGAUGUCGAACUGUCGUAAAACAGUGUUUGUUCCCUCCUCCCCCGGUCAAACUGUCAGUGCAACCUGCAGCCUGCGGGAAGGUGGACUUAUUAAGUCCUGUAACCUGUCCUUAAGAAGAGGGGAGCUGCAGCGAAUACACUGAGAAUUCACAUCCAGGCCUCUGAAGACACUUUCUUGGUUGAAAAGGUUGUGUAGGUGUGUCUGGCCAGCCCUACAUUCAGAGGUGCAACACCUUCGUAGAAGAGUCUGGAAGAGAGAUGAAGAUGCAGAGGAGGAGAUGAAACAUCCUGGAGGGAUCAUUGUGCUGAAGGAUUACGAGGGGAGGAUUUCAGCUGACUGUUUUCAUCCUCUGGUCAUCUGCUUGGAUGUCUUGGAAUAGAUCAUCUGACUUCUGAAGGACAGCAUUUACCUGCAUGGAUCUGCUGGAUUAUUACCUGAGCGACACCUGGGCAGACUGCUGUUAUCGAUUAUUACAGAUUAGUUCCUUAUGAAUGGGCUGUUACCUGAAGUCUCUUCCUGCGUUGCGUUCACUGGUUAGCAGUGACCCAUACAGCUCCCUAAGGACCCUCUAAUAACAGCUAAUGGGCUGUUAAAGUACUGAACGAGGCCUCCACAGCUCAAGACUGGAUGGUCGGGUCUCACCACCAAUUACAGCUCAUCGAACAGGAGAGGCCGAGGGCUGAUUUCGUCAGUAAUUUGUGAGUGUGUGUGAGAGUGCACCUGCGUGUGUGUGUGUGUAUGUGUGCAUCCGUCAGUCAGGCUCCUCUUCCACCCAGCUAGCUGCGCAUAGGCAGUCAUUAGCAGCAGCAGAAGCCAGUCAUUAAGCCUGUCAUUUCCUCUGUCUGCCAGCUGACCUACUGAUUUGGACAGCUUCUGUACUUAACCUAUGAACUCUGAUUCCCAUGCUCACUGCACGUGUGUGUGUGUGUGUGUGUGUGUGUGUGUGUGUGUGUAUGUGGAAGCAGUGGAGGGCUACAAGAUGAAAGAUGAACAGUGUUUGAUUAUGUGAUUUGGGAUGCAGAUAUGUAUGGUGUGGCCAUGUCUACAUUAAUGGUGCUAAAUUUUAAAGCAUUUUUUUAAAUCAGUGUUGCCAAAACGGAAAUACCCUUUUCCUCCUUUGUUUGCCUUGUUAAGAACAGAAUUGUGCAGAUCUCGUUCUCUUUCAACAGUUCUCUUUUUCUGUUUCUGUAUAACAUAUUAAGAUGAUCAAAGGCCAUACAUGUAACAUUUUCUUCCAGACUGAGAAUGCCUCGAUAUCUCUAAAUAAAGAGAUAUGCCAAUUAGAACACCACUAUGUAAUACGUUAGAGUAUUCUGACAUACAAAAUGAGUUAUCACAGGGAGGUUCGAUCAGAGCAAAGUAUCCAGUAUAUUUAUUCAGUCUAUAUCCAUUGAAACUCACUCUUUUCUAGAUGAUGGCUGAAAUGCAGCAUUUUCACAGUUUGACAGAGUACAGAAUUUAAAGAGAACUCAAAAUGAAGUCCACAAACUAACGGGUGACGUCUUGGUGGCUGCAUCCUCAUCGUUUAUACAGUCUAUGAUUGCUUGCUGCUGCUUACAGAACUACAGAACUGCACUGUAAAGGCAAGGCACCAUCAAAAUUUAAUUUCCUUUUGAUUUGUUACUGUUGAAGUUGGUUGUUUUCCUACAAAGCCAUAUUUGUCAACU
Long non-coding RNA from Micropterus dolomieu (smallmouth bass), 1693 nucleotides. RefSeq lists it as uncharacterized. Lineage: Eukaryota; Metazoa; Chordata; Actinopteri; Centrarchiformes; Centrarchidae. The record is from RefSeq and is a predicted model, not a curated record. The transcript is spliced from 5 exons.